This 691-nucleotide ribosomal RNA is filed under the name Rhodococcoides fascians. Its description in RNAcentral is "bacterial SSU rRNA". It matches the Rfam family "Bacterial small subunit ribosomal RNA", at positions 123 to 828 of the family's 1533-position model. Lineage: Bacteria; Bacillati; Actinomycetota; Actinomycetes; Mycobacteriales; Nocardiaceae. The record is from RNAcentral.
GAUCUGCCCUGCACUCUGGGAUAAGCUUGGGAAACUGGGUCUAAUACCGGAUAUGACCACAGCAUGCAUGUGUUGUGGUGGAAAGAUUUAUCGGUGCAGGAUGGGCCCGCGGCCUAUCAGCUUGUUGGUGGGGUAAUGGCCUACCAAGGCGACGACGGGUAGCCGACCUGAGAGGGUGACCGGCCACACUGGGACUGAGACACGGCCCAGACUCCUACGGGAGGCAGCAGUGGGGAAUAUUGCACAAUGGGCGGAAGCCUGAUGCAGCGACGCCGCGUGAGGGAUGAAGGCCUUCGGGUUGUAAACCUCUUUCAGCAGGGACGAAGCGUGAGUGACGGUACCUGCAGAAGAAGCACCGGCUAACUACGUGCCAGCAGCCGCGGUAAUACGUAGGGUGCGAGCGUUGUCCGGAAUUACUGGGCGUAAAGAGUUCGUAGGCGGUUUGUCGCGUCGUUUGUGAAAACCCGGGGCUCAACUUCGGGCUUGCAGGCGAUACGGGCAGACUUGAGUGUUUCAGGGGAGACUGGAAUUCCUGGUGUAGCGGUGAAAUGCGCAGAUAUCAGGAGGAACACCGGUGGCGAAGGCGGGUCUCUGGGAAACAACUGACGCUGAGGAACGAAAGCGUGGGUAGCAAACAGGAUUAGAUACCCUGGUAGUCCACGCCGUAAACGGUGGGCGCUAGGUGUGGGUU